Molecule: non-coding RNA, 103 nt
Organism: Plectosphaerella plurivora
Lineage: Eukaryota; Fungi; Ascomycota; Sordariomycetes; Glomerellales; Plectosphaerellaceae
Source: the annotation of a GenBank genome assembly
GCCGCGGUGGCCGAGCUGGUUAAGUCAGUGGACCAAGACACCAUUAAACAACCCUCUUCCACCGUUCGCGCCCUAUACCUGGGUUCAAUUCCCAGGCCCAGCA